ACCUUCGUUCCCGCGCUUUGUUCGGAUUCACUGGGUGUAAAGGGCGCGUAGGUGGUUGUCUGUGUCUCAUGUGAAAACUCAGGGCUCAACUCUGAGAUUGCGUGGGAAACUAGGCAGCUAGAGGACGGUAGAGGGGAGUGGAAUUCCCGGUGUAGCGGUAAAAUGCGUAGAUAUCGGGAGGAACACCGGUGGCGAAGGCGGCUCUCUGGGCCGAUCCUGACGCUGAGGCGCGAAAGCUAGGGGAGCGAACCGGAUAAGAUAACCCCGUAGUCC
RNAcentral lists this ribosomal RNA (273 nucleotides) under uncultured bacterium. RNAcentral's name for it is "partial 16S ribosomal RNA". It matches the Rfam family "Bacterial small subunit ribosomal RNA", at positions 524 to 796 of the family's 1533-position model. The record is from RNAcentral.